Molecule: ribosomal RNA, 2871 nt
Filed under: Escherichia coli
Lineage: Bacteria; Pseudomonadati; Pseudomonadota; Gammaproteobacteria; Enterobacterales; Enterobacteriaceae
Also listed under: 1 other name
Description: partial 23S ribosomal RNA
Rfam family: Bacterial large subunit ribosomal RNA
Source: RNAcentral
UGGCAGUCAGAGGCGAUGAAGGACGUGCUAAUCUGCGAUAAGCGUCGGUGAGGUGAUAUGAACCGUUAUAACCGGCGAUUUCCGAAUGGGGAAACCCAGUGUGUUUCGACACACUAUCAUUAACUGAAUCCAUAGGUUAAUGAGGCGAACCGGGGGAACUGAAACAUCUAAGUACCCCGAGGAAAAGAAAUCAACCGAGAUUCCCCCAGUAGCGGCGAGCGAACGGGGAGGAGCCCAGAGCCUGAAUCAGUGUGUGUGUUAGUGGAAGCGUCUGGAAAGGCGCGCGAUACAGGGUGACAGCCCCGUACACAAAAAUGCACAUAUUGUGAGCUCGAUGAGUAGGGCGGGACACGUGGUAUCCUGUCUGAAUAUGGGGGGACCAUCCUCCAAGGCUAAAUACUCCUGACUGACCGAUAGUGAACCAGUACCGUGAGGGAAAGGCGAAAAGAACCCCGGCGAGGGGAGUGAAAAAGAACCUGAAACCGUGUACGUACAAGCAGUGGGAGCCUCUUUAUGGGGUGACUGCGUACCUUUUGUAUAAUGGGUCAGCGACUUAUAUUCUGUAGCAAGGUUAACCGAAUAGGGGAGCCGAAGGGAAACCGAGUCUUAACUGGGCGUUAAGUUGCAGGGUAUAGACCCGAAACCCGGUGAUCUAGCCAUGGGCAGGUUGAAGGUUGGGUAACACUAACUGGAGGACCGAACCGACUAAUGUUGAAAAAUUAGCGGAUGACUUGUGGCUGGGGGUGAAAGGCCAAUCAAACCGGGAGAUAGCUGGUUCUCCCCGAAAGCUAUUUAGGUAGCGCCUCGUGAAUUCAUCUCCGGGGGUAGAGCACUGUUUCGGCAAGGGGGUCAUCCCGACUUACCAACCCGAUGCAAACUGCGAAUACCGGAGAAUGUUAUCACGGGAGACACACGGCGGGUGCUAACGUCCGUCGUGAAGAGGGAAACAACCCAGACCGCCAGCUAAGGUCCCAAAGUCAUGGUUAAGUGGGAAACGAUGUGGGAAGGCCCAGACAGCCAGGAUGUUGGCUUAGAAGCAGCCAUCAUUUAAAGAAAGCGUAAUAGCUCACUGGUCGAGUCGGCCUGCGCGGAAGAUGUAACGGGGCUAAACCAUGCACCGAAGCUGCGGCAGCGACACUAUGUGUUGUUGGGUAGGGGAGCGUUCUGUAAGCCUGUGAAGGUGGCCUGUGAGGGUUGCUGGAGGUAUCAGAAGUGCGAAUGCUGACAUAAGUAACGAUAAAGCGGGUGAAAAGCCCGCUCGCCGGAAGACCAAGGGUUCCUGUCCAACGUUAAUCGGGGCAGGGUGAGUCGACCCCUAAGGCGAGGCCGAAAGGCGUAGUCGAUGGGAAACAGGUUAAUAUUCCUGUACUUGGUGUUACUGCGAAGGGGGGACGGAGAAGGCUAUGUUGGCCGGGCGACGGUUGUCCCGGUUUAAGCGUGUAGGCUGGUUUUCCAGGCAAAUCCGGAAAACCAAGGCUGAGGCGUGAUGACGAGGCACUACGGUGCUGAAGCGACAAAUGCCCUGCUUCCAGGAAAAGCCUCUAAGCAUCAGGUAACAUCAAAUCGUACCCCAAACCGACACAGGUGGUCAGGUAGAGAAUACCAAGGCGCUUGAGAGAACUCGGGUGAAGGAACUAGGCAAAAUGGUGCCGUAACUUCGGGAGAAGGCACGCUGAUAUGUAGGUGAAGCGACUUGCUCGUGGAGCUGAAAUCAGUCGAAGAUACCAGCUGGCUGCAACUGUUUAUUAAAAACACAGCACUGUGCAAACACGAAAGUGGACGUAUACGGUGUGACGCCUGCCCGGUGCCGGAAGGUUAAUUGAUGGGGUUAGCGGUAACGCGAAGCUCUUGAUCGAAGCCCCGGUAAACGGCGGCCGUAACUAUAACGGUCCUAAGGUAGCGAAAUUCCUUGUCGGGUAAGUUCCGACCUGCACGAAUGGCGUAAUGAUGGCCAGGCUGUCUCCACCCGAGACUCAGUGAAAUUGAACUCGCUGUGAAGAUGCAGUGUACCCGCGGCAAGACGGAAAGACCCCGUGAACCUUUACUAUAGCUUGACACUGAACAUUGAGCCUUGAUGUGUAGGAUAGGUGGGAGGCUUUGAAGUGUGGACGCCAGUCUGCAUGGAGCCGACCUUGAAAUACCACCCUUUAAUGUUUGAUGUUCUAACGUUGGCCCGUAAUCCGGGUUGCGGACAGUGUCUGGUGGGUAGUUUGACUGGGGCGGUCUCCUCCUAAAGAGUAACGGAGGAGCACGAAGGUUGGCUAAUCCUGGUCGGACAUCAGGAGGUUAGUGCAAUGGCAUAAGCCAGCUUGACUGCGAGCGUGACGGCGCGAGCAGGUGCGAAAGCAGGUCAUAGUGAUCCGGUGGUUCUGAAUGGAAGGGCCAUCGCUCAACGGAUAAAAGGUACUCCGGGGAUAACAGGCUGAUACCGCCCAAGAGUUCAUAUCGACGGCGGUGUUUGGCACCUCGAUGUCGGCUCAUCACAUCCUGGGGCUGAAGUAGGUCCCAAGGGUAUGGCUGUUCGCCAUUUAAAGUGGUACGCGAGCUGGGUUUAGAACGUCGUGAGACAGUUCGGUCCCUAUCUGCCGUGGGCGCUGGAGAACUGAGGGGGGCUGCUCCUAGUACGAGAGGACCGGAGUGGACGCAUCACUGGUGUUCGGGUUGUCAUGCCAAUGGCACUGCCCGGUAGCUAAAUGCGGAAGAGAUAAGUGCUGAAAGCAUCUAAGCACGAAACUUGCCCCGAGAUGAGUUCUCCCUGAGACUUAGAGUCUCCUGAAGGAACGUUGAAGACGACGACGUUGAUAGGCCGGGUGUGUAAGCGCAGCGAUGCGUUGAGCUAACCGGUACUAAUGAACCGUGAGGCUUAACCUU